CUGUCAAUGAUUUGAGAGACAUUAAAUUGAUCAUCAUGAGAAAUAAUACUUACGACAUGGUAAUCAUUGUAUGUCUUCCAGUAAUAUGCAAGUACAACAAAAUUAAUUCUUCCAAAUUCGCUUAGCUCGUGUAAAAGUGAAUAGAAAAAGAAAAAGAAAAUCUUAGUGGCAAGAUCAAGAAUCCAAGGAGAGUUUUUCAAGCUCUCUGAUGCCAUGAUUAGAAGCUUUCUUCAUUUCAAGAGCUCUCUUGUAAGGAGGGGCAAUUGGGGGUUGAACAGGAUCCAGGCUCUGAUAGGUGCCCUCACCAACUUUCGGUAGUGGAUAUGAUCGAUCGGAGUCAUAUCCACUAAGGUCCCCACAUGCUAGAAAUGGGAUAUAAACCUUAUUCGGUCCUUCUAACCAUCCACUGCUGCAAUCUAGAUCAUCCAUGCCUGAGGGGCUUCCCGCCUUUUCUAGGAGGCGAUGUAAGUCUUUUGGAUUAAAUCCCUGAGGAGGGGAAUAAUUCUCACAAACUGCAAAUGCCUCUAUGCUGGAAUUGCGGCUACUUCUUGGUUUUGCAAAAGUCACAACGGGGAAAAAUAAUUUGAGCUGGCAUUAAAGAAGACUUGUAUCUUUUCCACGAAAUAUCUUCGCAAUAAAUUUUCCACCUUCUCUAAGUACAUGUGUGACAAUAGUCAAACCCGCUAGUAUGAGUUGAGACUGAACAAACUCAUCCAUAUCAUGAAGACCAGUGACAUCAGGUGCACCAUCACAUACAACCAGGUCAGCUUUGCAGCCAUCAAAAUGUCUAAUGACCACUUCAGCUGUUUGGGCAUUGGUGAUGUCUCCCUGUACUUGGAUAACACCUUCAAUUGGAGCCAUGGGUUGCAAGUCAAUAGCCACAAUAAGAGGAAGAUCAUCAUCCCUUGAAUCUUGUGAAAGCUUUGCCGGCAUAUAUAAUUUACGGCUCAAAACCUGACUCCAACUACCUGGUGCAGCACAUAAAUCUACAACACGCUUCACCCCUUCAAAUAUGUUGAAUUCCUCAUCUAUCUGAAGAAGCUUAAAGGCACUUCGAGCACGCCAACCUUCUUCUUUUGCUUUUCGGUAGUAGAUAUCCCUCUUAUCCCUUGAUGCUUUUCCCAUGUUUUAUUUAUUCACUACUUCUGCAAAUAAGUUAUAGCAGGACUGGUUUGUUAGCUCCAGAAUCAAAAGAUGCAUAUGGUUCAGGGUGAAAGUAAGUAGCACAUCUUCCUUUGUACGAACAACAAUGAUGUCAAUGUAAAGAAGAACCUACGAAAAGCAUGAUGUUAUAGAUCACAUAAACAAAUAAAAUGGCUACAUGUUACAGAAAUUGAAUUGGCCUUCGAGUUGGCCACAAAAUUUUUUACAUCUGGCACCGGAUCACUGAGAGUAACAAAAUGCAAGAAGGCAUAAACACUUUCUUCAAAGUGAAGUGCAUUGACGAACAGCUAAUAACUACACUAUACUGGCAAAAGGGAGAGCAUAAAAGGGAGAGCAUA
RNAcentral lists this unclassified non-coding RNA (1502 nucleotides) under Hevea brasiliensis (rubber tree). The record is from RNAcentral. Lineage: Eukaryota; Viridiplantae; Streptophyta; Magnoliopsida; Malpighiales; Euphorbiaceae.